UGGGGAAUUUUGGACAAUGGGCGAAAGCCUGAUCCAGCAAUGCCGCGUGUGUGAAGAAGGCCUUCGGGUUGUAAAGCACUUUUGUCCGGAAAGAAAUCCUUGGCUCUAAUACAGUCGGGGGAUGACGGUACCGGAAGAAUAAGCACCGGCUAACUACGUGCCAGCAGCCGCGGUAAUACGUAGGGUGCAAGCGUUAAUCGGAAUUACUGGGCGUAAAGCGUGCGCAGGCGGUUUGCUAAGACCGAUGUGAAAUCCCCGGGCUCAACCUGGGAACUGCAUUGGUGACUGGCAGGCUAGAGUAUGGCAGAGGGGGGUAGAACUCCACGUGUAGCAGUGAAAUGCGUAGAGAUGUGGAGGAAUACCGAUGGCGAAGGCAGCCCCCUGGGCCAAUACUGACGCUCAUGCACGAAAGCGUGGGGAGCAAACAGGAUUAGAUACCCUGGUAGUCCACGCCCUAAACGAUGUCAACUAGUUGUUGGGGAUUCAUUUCCUUAGUAACGUAGCUAACGCGUGAAGUUGACCGCCUGGGGAGUACGGUCGCAAGAUUAAAACUCAAAUGAAUUGACGGGGUCAUA
Molecule: ribosomal RNA, 575 nt
Filed under: uncultured bacterium
Lineage: Bacteria
Description: partial 16S ribosomal RNA
Rfam family: Bacterial small subunit ribosomal RNA
Source: RNAcentral